This 129-nucleotide long non-coding RNA is filed under the name Sus scrofa (pig). Its description in RNAcentral is "lncRNA (ENSSSCG00065028792.1)". Lineage: Eukaryota; Metazoa; Chordata; Mammalia; Artiodactyla; Suidae. The record is from RNAcentral.
CUGCCACUUGCUGACUGGCUGAGUGGCAGCUGCUCGCACUGUGUGGACUAGCUGGAUGGAGGAUGAAGCUGUCCUGGACAGAGGGGCUUCCUUCCUUAAGCAUGUGUGUGAUGAAGAAGAAGUAGAAGG